RNAcentral lists this long non-coding RNA (411 nucleotides) under Mus spicilegus (steppe mouse). RNAcentral describes it as "lncRNA (ENSMSIG00000010199.1)". Lineage: Eukaryota; Metazoa; Chordata; Mammalia; Rodentia; Muridae. The record is from RNAcentral.
CCCUUUGAGGAGACCAGUGAUAGAGAUUAAGGGCAGGACGAGUGCCUGGGAACAGCGAAGGUGGUGGUCGAAGGCACUUGUGGUGGACAGGAAACUCUAGGCCUUAGUCACUGUCAUCAUGGGUGUGGGGACAAAUACGGUUCCCCAGCAGGACACGGAGCGCAAGUUAUGAUGCCCUGGGAUGAUCAGGAGUCCUGAAGUGUGUGAGUUGAGCAACAGCAAACACAGCAGACAACCUUGGUCUCUUUGAGAAGUCAUCCCUGUGGCUCUGUUAUUUGCCAACGACAUCGAUUCCCUCUUCUAGAACCCUGCAGACAUUCUUGGUUUCCUGGACUCCAGGCUAGGUUUGAUUUUUUUUUUCUCUCUUAACAGCUUGGCCACUCCUCAAUGGGUGUGUUAGAAUGUUUCCUG